This 444-nucleotide ribosomal RNA is filed under the name uncultured Acidovorax sp. RNAcentral's name for it is "bacterial SSU rRNA". It matches the Rfam family "Bacterial small subunit ribosomal RNA", at positions 936 to 1382 of the family's 1533-position model. The record is from RNAcentral. Lineage: Bacteria; Pseudomonadati; Pseudomonadota; Betaproteobacteria; Burkholderiales; Comamonadaceae.
AUGAUGUGGUUUAAUUCGAUGCAACGCGAAAACCUUACCACCUUUGACAUGUACGGAAUCCUUUAGAGAUAGAGGAGUGCUCGAAAGAGAGCCGUAACACAGGUGCUGCAUGGCUGUCGUCAGCUCGUGUCGUGAGAUGUUGGGUUAAGUCCCGCAACGAGCGCAACCCUUGUCAUUAGUUGCUACAUUCAGUUGGGCACUCUAAUGAGACUGCCGGUGACAAACCGGAGGAAGGUGGGGAUGACGUCAAGUCCUCAUGGCCCUUAUAGGUGGGGCUACACACGUCAUACAAUGGAUGGUACAAAGGGUCGCCAACCCGCGAGGGGGAGCCAAUCCCAUAAAGCCAUUCGUAGUCCGGAUCGCAGUCUGCAACUCGACUGCGUGAAGUCGGAAUCGCUAGUAAUCGUGGAUCAGAAUGUCACGGUGAAUACGUUCCCGGGUCUU